RNAcentral lists this ribosomal RNA (33 nucleotides) under Piscirickettsia salmonis. Its description in RNAcentral is "partial 23S ribosomal RNA". The record is from RNAcentral. Lineage: Bacteria; Pseudomonadati; Pseudomonadota; Gammaproteobacteria; Thiotrichales; Piscirickettsiaceae.
UCAAGUGAAUAAGUGCAUACGGUGGAUGCCUUG